This 11625-nucleotide unclassified non-coding RNA is filed under the name Octopus sinensis (East Asian common octopus). RNAcentral describes it as "protocadherin gamma-A11, transcript variant X2". Lineage: Eukaryota; Metazoa; Mollusca; Cephalopoda; Octopoda; Octopodidae. The record is from RNAcentral.
GCUAUUUAGGGAAUUAAAUUCGAUAUAUCCUCAAUGAAUAUUUUUAUUUCUUCUACCUCUAAUCUUUAUACUAAAUACCUUAAAUAUAAACUUUACGAUUCCAUAUAAAACGAAUAUCUUUAAUGAGAAGAGAAAAACUCUGAAUAUCGACCAAACUUUAUGAAUUUCUUAUGAAAAUGCCUUUUUAAGGCGCGUCGCUCUUACUUUUAUAUUUGUUUAUUUAGAGCCACUGUUUCGUAAAUGCUUUUUUCUUUUAAAAAGUCACUUUAUAAACAUUCAUAUUUUUAAUUCAUAUUUUAUUUCCAUAUUCUUAUGGGAAUACAUUUUAGGCUUACCUUUUUAAGCGUGGCUUUAGAAAUUGUUUAUUACUCUUUAAUACAAAACUUGCACAAAAAUUUUUUUUUUUUGUUUUCAUCCAACAUCUCACAAAUAUUUAAUAUCAAAAUUUUCCAUGCGAGUCUAUUUCUCAACCUCAGUUUUCUGAGCGUCAAAUAUUUCCUGUGAUUUAAUUUUGUACAUUUUACUUACACACACAUUCAUACACUUAUGUGUAUAUUAGUGUGUUGUGUUAUGUGAACCAGUCUGUGAGUCAGCCCAUCAUUUACUGCAAGAACUGGAGGCUGUACUUCCGUUUCCUUGCAUUGGAAUAAUAGACAGCUUGUCAUUGGCUACAACACACUUACCAUACAAACCAGCUUGAUAGAACUGCAUAACACAUACCAAACUUUUGAGAACUCCAUUUGUAACAAUAACAACAACUUUGUUGCAAGAACUUUGAAACAGUUCUGUGACAACUGUAUGAACAUCUGACAACUGUUGUUUUUUGAUUUAAUGCUUAAAUGACUGAAGUCAUGUUGUCAGUGUUGUUGAUGAUUGUGAUGUUGAUGGCCGAGAGCUGCUGGUGUGUGGACCAUACCUACCAUGUGAAAGAGAACAAUGAUAUAAACAGCUAUAUUGGAGAUAUUGUUACUGAUACACACUUACUGGAUAAUAUACAGUCACAGGACAAACUGACAUUUAAAAUACUCCAGGGUAGUACUGAUGGAAGUGUUCAAUUGUUUAAUGUUACACCUGGAGGACAACUGUACACAGCUGCCAUAUUGGAUGCAGAAUCUCUGUGUCAAUAUGAUGUGGAAUGUUUCAGGAUAUUGGAAAUAGCAGUUCAAGAAGGCCAUUCUUUUAUGAAGAUAUUAGAAAUCAAAGUUAUGAUAGAAGAUGUCAAUGAUAAUUCUCCCAUGUUUCCGGACAAGGAAUUUCAUUUAAAAUUUGAUGAAAAUGUACCCAUGGGAAUAAAAGAAAUUAUUCCAAAUGCCUUUGACAAAGAUGUCAGUAUUGAGAACUCCGAAAUUUCUUAUCAACUGAGGAAUAACCACGAAAAUAUAUUCCAGUUGUCAGUCUCAAGUAUUUCUGAUAGGCAAAGUAACAUUGAAUUAAUAUUGGGUGGGAAACUUGACCGAGAGAAAAAGGAAAGUUAUGCUCUUCAACUAAUUGCAGCAGAUGGAGGAUCACCAUCAAAGGAAAGUGUAUUGGACAUAAAAAUAUUAGUGAGAGAUAAAAAUGAUAAUGCUCCUGUAUUCUCUCAAAGUAUAUAUAAUGUAACAGUAAAUGAUACACACAGUAAGAACAAGCCCAUUAUCAAAUUAACAGCAACAGAUUUAGAUGAAGGGGAUAAUGGAAGAAUUGUGUAUAGUUUCAGCCCUGUUAUCUCAGAAACUGAACGAAAAAAAUUCAUUUCAAAUCAAACUUCUGGAGAAAUAUAUAUAACAAACGAAUUUCAGUUUGGAAAAGUCUAUAAAUUGUUUAUUGAAGCCAGAGAUAAUGGUAAUCCUUCCAAAUUUUCUGUAGUGACUGUUGUUGUAAAUAGUAUCACUCACCUUAACAAUCCCCCCAAAAUUGAUGUCAAAUUUGUUUUAAAGUCAACUGGAAACACAGCUGUCAUCUCAGAAGCAUCUAAAAUUGGCAGUUUUGUUGCUUAUGUCAAAGUUACCGACAAUGACGGUGGAAAAAAUGGACAAGUGAACUGUCAUUUACAUAAUAAAUACCUUCAGCUAAUCUCAGUGUCUGAAAAGAAAUACAAAGUUGUUGUCAAGAGUGAAAUAGAUAGAGAGAGUGAAAAGAGCUUUAAUUUCACCAUUAAAUGUCAAGAUAAUGGUUUACCUCCGUUGAAAGUAGAGAAACAGUUUUCUAUGCUGGUUACUGACAUAAAUGAUGUACAACCUCAGUUUAGUCAGGACAUAUUUAAGUUUCUCACCUAUGAAAAUGAACACAAAGACUUCCCUGUUGGAUAUGUCAAUGCCACAGACCCAGAUAUUGGAGAUGGAGGACAAUUAACCUAUUCUCUAUUAUCUAAUGGAAAAGAUAUUCUACCAUUUCAGAUAUCUGAUGUGGGAUUCAUUUCCACAACUGAGUCCCUAGACAGAGAAGAAAAGAACCUGUAUGAGUUCAAGGUUUUAGUAAAAGAUAAAGGAACACCGUCACUGGAGAAGAGAGCAAAUGUUGUUGUUGAGGUUAUGGAUUUAAAUGAUAAUGCUCCCUAUUUCAGUUUCCCUAAUGUUGACCCUUUCAGUCUUAAUGUCCACUACCAUCCCCACUCUGACCAUGAUAUCACAGUUGUUAGGGCCUCCGACAGAGACAGUCAACACAAUGCCUUCCUCACAUAUGAAAUACUCAGAGGUAAUGAGAAACACUUAUUUCAAAUGAACCAUCACUCUGGUGUCUUAUCUUUCUCUCGCUCACUUUACCAAAAUGAUGCUGGAUUCUAUGAACUGGAAUUAGGUGUGAAAGACAGUGGCAGUCCAGUUCUGUCAUCGACAACAACUUUGUCUUUGACUCUAACAGUGAGUAACACCACAUCAAAGAUAUUUAAGACCCCUUCAAAGACAACAACAGAAUCAAGUAAUGGUCUCCAAUUGAAUGUGAUGAUUGUUAUUGUUAUAGCAGCUGUGAUCGUAUCAGUUGUCAUAGUGAUCUCUAUAUCGAUCUGUAUAGUUCAUAGACUGAAGCAGACAGACAGCAACUAUAACAACAGUGUUGAUAUGUACCACAAGGUUACACCUGCAUUAAACACACAAUCAAAAUAUAUAUUUGAUCCUACUUGUGUUCCACCUGGCAUUUCAUACACAAUGUCGAGAAAUCUGAAGAAAUCCCAACAACCAAUGGUAGACAGAGAAGAUAUUCACUGCAGAACCAUGCUAGGUAAUAGAUGGGAUAACCCAACAUUAAGACGUCAUCAGCAGAUGUUUGUUCCAAGAGAAGAAAGUAUGUCUCCGGGCUACAGAGAACUAAGCAGUGCCGAUGAAACCAGCGAAAUGUCAACAUUGUCUUCUCACACAGAUAGGAGUCAUGGCUGGAGUGUCGGUAGUGCUGGACAUUAUGAAACCCUGCCAGAUCUGUGUUGUUACCAAAGUGAUCGUACAUGGAACAGGAGAAAACAGCUUCCACACACACUGGACAGAUCGAGGGGAGAUAAUAACAAUCAAUACCCUGGAUAUACUUACCAACCAAACGUUGAUUCUAACACAGUCUGUCAUCCUGACCAAACACCUUUGAAUAUAACUGAACAACCAUCUACAACGCCAUUGACAAGUGUCUUUACUUCAAAUAAUAAACCACCUCUACCUGCUGUACCUAAAGUAACAACGCUACCAAAGGUACCCUCAGUACUUCAGGUACCUGUUCUAUCUACACCAAACAACACCAUACUAUUACAUUAACACUAAAAUAUUAUUGUCAUCAAUAAGGCAUUAUUGAAACGGUUACUACCAUUAUUUUAAAGUAUUGAAUGAUAUUCUUGAGGAUUUAUCUUCGACAGAAAAGAAGAGCCGUAUAUUUUACAAUUUGUAAACACAACUGUGAGUAUGUGUGUAUAUAUAUAUAUAUACACACUCACACUUGUGCUUACAAAUUCUAAAAUAUGAGUGUAUAUAAGCCCGUUCAAUAAUAUAAUUCCUAAUUUUUAUUAGAUUGCUUUGUAAAAUAGUUUUCAACAGUUACCUCCCUUGAAUAUAGUUAACUUUUUUUUUUUUUAAAUAUAUUCUUAACGGAGAAAACUCUUGAACAAUUCCUUCAAUACAUAAAUUUACACACCGUAAAUAAUCACGAAAAUUUCAAUAAAAUUUACUUAAAUUAGCAUUAAAUAUUCUUUUCGGCUAUUUAGGGAAUAAGAAAAAUUGAGACAAUCGACCGAAUUUUAUGAAUUUCUUAUGAAUAUGCAUUUUUAAGACGAGUCGCUCCUGCUUUAAUAUUUGUUUAUUAAUAGCCACUGUUUCGUAAUUCCUAAAACAAUCUUUUCCUUUUUUCUUAAGUCAUUUUAUGAACAUUUUAAGCAUUAUUUUUUAUGGGAAUAGAGUUUAGGCUUUCCUUUUUAAGUGUGGCUCGAGAAAUAAUCUGUUACUCUUCAAUACAAAACUUGCAGAAAAUAUUUUUUCUUUUGUUUUUACCCAACAUCUCACAUAUUUAAUAUUAAAAUUUUCCAUGAGAGUCUGUUUCUCCUCCUCAAUAUUCUGGACAUCAAAUAUUUCCAGUGAUUUAAUUUUGUACAUUUUACUUUCACACACAUUCAUACACUCAUAUGUAUAUUAGUGUGUGAAUGUUUGGUGUUAAGUGAACUAAUCUGUAGGUCAGCCCAUCAUUAAAGUGUAUGAACUGGAGAUUGUACCUCCGUUUCCUUGCAUUGGAAUAAUAGACAACUUGUCAUCAGCGACAAUACACAUUAACUACUACGCAACCAAAUUGAUAGAACUGCAUAACACUAUCACAUACCAAACUACUCAGAACUCCAGCUAAAAUAUUAAUAACUUUGCUGCCAGAACUUUGAAAUGGUACUGUGACAACUGUAUAAACGAUUGACAACUGUUGAUUUGUGCUACUCCCAAGUCUGAUAUUAUAGAAAACCAUGGCAAUUUAACUCUAUAUCAGAAUGAAAGGAAAUAACACUGAAGAAUAUUUGCUCUACUCAAACGGAGACAGGCAGAAGUUGAAUUGGCCAACAUAAAAAUUGGUAGCAUUGGUGAAGAAACUUUUCUUUUGCAUGGAUAGUAUACGAUAUGACUCUAGACUUUUAGUAGAUUUUAUCAGAUGUUUUGACUUAUGCUAUAUAUGAUAACAAUGUCUCUUAGAAUAUUUUCAAAUAAUAUCAGAGGAGGUUUAGUGAAAGUCUAGCAAAGUAAAUGGUGGUGCUUUGGCACAGCUGUAGUCCUUGGACUGAAAGUAGAAAAAAAAAUAUAAAAACAUACAUAUAUAUAUUCAGUGUGUGUGUCUAUACAUAUAUAUAUAUAUUCAGUGUGUGUGCCUAUACAUAUAUAGGAAUGGAUGUAAGUUUUGAAGUUCACUUUUCAAGUAUGUGAUUUUAAGUUCAACCCUACUGUGUAUUACCAUGGGUAAAGUGUCUUCUACCAUAACUCCAGACUGAUCAGUGCUUUGUGAUUUUAGUCAUCAGACUGUGGUCAUGCUCACAAAGCAUAGAUUGGCCCAGGGUUAUAGUAGAAGACAUUUGUCAAAGGUGUCAUGCUGUGGGGCUGGACUUGAAACCACAUAGUUUCAAAGUGAACUUCUUAACUAUACACAGCUUUGUAUGUGUUAUGCCUAUUGUGAAAAGUAUUCCAAUUCAUGUACUCGCAGUAUUAUGGAAAUGUGUAUCUGGAAAUCUUGUAAUAGAUUCUGUGAUGUAAAACCUAUUUUUCUGUUGACUUUCAUGUUAUAUGGAAAUCAAUGAACGUGAAAAGUUUAUGAGAAAUAUAGUUGCACUGUGGAAUUUCAUGUUUAUAAACAAAAUUUUUUUUCAACACUUUUAUGACAUGUUAGAUGUCUGUAUAUUAAGAAAACUCCUUUUCACUUGUAGUGGAAGGAUAUGUUUGUUAGAAAAACACGUAUCCCUGCAUUAUUAGCAUUUUCAUUAUGUAUUGAAGCAAACAACAAGUUUAUAUCAACAUAUGAUUUGUAUGCAAAUUACUAAGUUUUCAUUAACAUACAAUAUGUAAAUGACCAGUAUAAGUUUACAUUAACAUUAUAUAUAUAUGACCAGUAUACGUUUAUAUUAACAUAUGACCAAAUGAGUUUACAUUAACAUCAUUUAAAUAACCAAAUGACCAAACAACAAAAUUGUAUUAACAUACAAUAUAUAAAUGACCAAAUAACAUGCUUAUAUUUGUAUGCAAUAUAUAAUUGACCAAACAACACAUUCACAUGAACAUAUAAUAUAUAAAUGACCAUACAAUCGUUGUCAGAAGAUAUUUUUGUUUCUUACCUGGCACUCCAAUUCUGUAGGUCUGAAAAGAGGUAAAAAUUUAUUCAAAUGACAAACACGAUAAACAAAAGUUGUAAAGGAAGAAUAGAGCUACAAAAAGGGGGAAAAAAUGCUUAAAAAGAUAAAACUAUUUUUUGUGUUAGUUCAAAUAACAUUGGAAAACCUCAAAGUAAAUCAAGGAAAAAAGAAUAGCAAACAAAAACAAAUUAAUUUAUCUGACAACCUAUUAUAAUUGACCAAAGUGGUAUCAAAGCUUUUUGCCUAUCUGUAACCAAACUGCUUUACCAAACUGAAGAGUUCACCUUCAGUGCCGUCUGAAUGUAUGGGCACACUGAGCAGUUAUCCAUGUGUCUAGGUGCUAUGCAGUAAGGCAGUACUUGAAACCAUAUGAUUUCAAAGUCAGCUUCUUAAGUAUACAGCCAUGUAUAUUUAUACUUAUUGUGUAAAGUAUUUCAAUUCGGUUACUCUCAAUGCUACGGAAAUGUGUAUCUGAAAGUCUUGUAGCCUAAUGCUAAUCUGUCUAUGCUGCGAUUGUGUCUGUAGUGAACUCCAUGCAUUGCUUUGCCUGGCAAGGACCUUUAAUGCUGUUUAAGACGACUCUGCUUUCUGUUUUCUUUUACUAUUUAACAAGUCAUCAUUACUUUCUCAGCUCAAAUAUUUGUGCCUCUGUCCUGGAGCAGUAUAUUCUGAACCAGUUGACUCUCACUCGCAUCAAACUGUAAAUAAUUAUUACAGAGUAAACAGAAUUUACUUCUGUGAACACUGAACCACAAAUAGGUUACAUUAAUUUGCUGUGCUGUUCAAAUCCCUAUUGUAGACUUGAAAAUAGUAACUGGCUGUGACUACAUUUAGUUGACAUUUCAUGUAAAGGAUUAUCAGAAGUUGCUUGUGACCUGACAGUGAUCUUUGUAACGUUCGUUUUUAUGCUCAUCUCUGUACAUUAUAUGUGAUAACUCCUUUGUUAAAUGCAAUCAUCUCCCUACACCGUAUGUGAUACCCUCUGUACAUUACAUGUGAUACCCUCUGUAUGUUAUUCAUGAUACUCCCUAUACAUUAUAAAUGAUGAUCUCUGAAAGUGAUAUGUGAUAAUGAACUCAUAAUUUUCACUCUCAUCUUAAAUUCAAAGUCAGAGGAUCAAAAUUUGUUGUAGUCAAAGAAAGGGCAAAGAGAAAAUUCAGAAUGUUAUUGGGUUUGUAGUUGUAAUGAGUUGUUGGUGAAUGAAUCUUUUCUAACCUGGUGUGUUUAGAAACUGCUCCACUACAAAAUGAAACAAUGUUAUAUAUAGCUUUUCAGACUGAAGUACUUUCUGGUUUUGAAAAGAAAAAUCAAGCCUUUGAGGUGUAUAACAGAAUCCAUAGAGUUAACUGAAUUCAGCGAAUUUCUCUACAAGUGCUUGUCUGUCAUCUGAGUGUGAAAAAUAUAGGGAGAAUGUUGCUAUAGCUGCAAGCUAGCAAAAUUUGAUGAUGUAAUUUUAGACACGUUUUUUUUAGUAAAUGGUUAUCAUUAAUACCUAACAUUCAGAAAGACAAGAUAUUUCUUCUACCAUUAUUUCAAGUCUAUUACAUAGGAUUUCAGCACAGCAAAUUAUUGGAUCAAUUGUCUAUUAUAUUAGACCUCCUGUAUCUACACCAGUGCCUUGUGUCUCUCUUAUGAUACUGCUUUUGUAAUGAAUCAUGACUUCGAUGAAAGAUAGUCUUACCCUAUGUAAAAUAACAUAUAUUUUACUCUGUUGAUAUUAGUCUUAAUUUAAAGCAGAGGUUACCAGGAGUUAUAUGAGUAACUCUCAUUUUAUUGUAGUAUAUAAUACAAAAUUUAUCAUUUUAUCUUACUUAACAGCUUUCCUAGAGGUAAAAGUCUGUACAUGAUGUCCUGUUUCAGGUUAUAUAUUUCAAUAUAAAUGAGGUUUUUUUAAUAUAGUCUUUCAAUAUUUUUCUGAUUUAUUUUUCAUUUUUAAUCUAUCAAUUGUCUGCUAUUUGUUACAAACCAUCACAACCAAAUAACUGAUUCAAAUUUACAGCAAUUACAAUUACCAUUGAUGAUAGUGUUAACUAAAUAAUGUCAUUUAUACUUCUGAAAUUAAGAAAAAAAAAAUAUUCCAAAGCGCAUGUAUCCCGGUUUUAAAAUAGCUACACCAUAUCCUUAUUACUAAAAGAGGCCAAUAAAAGGGUUGGUGACAGAAUGGGUAUCUUCCCAUAAGACACUGCCUCAAAAUGGGCAAAAGAUGAGUGUGAUUAAAGGAGUGUUGAGCCAGCAAAACUAACCCCGCUUUUAGCAAGGCCAUCCGAGCCCUUAAAAUGUUUGUUGUGGGUCUAAACUAAUUAUAUUCUUGAAAAUAUUUCUCUCGAAACUAAAAUUUAAAGAGAGAAACAGUCAUGACACAAACACUCUUUUUGCUUUUUAAAUUUAUAAAAUAAUAUUAACCUACCAAGUAUGACACGUGUGUGUAGAAGUCUUUCAGACAGUUAACUCGUUUAUUUUUUUUUUUGCUUUUAACUUCUUAUUGCUAAAACCAUCAAGUAUUCAAACAUAUUUAAUCAGUUAUUAUUAUUCAAAAUUUCAUACAUUAUCUAUUCCACAUAACUUUGACGUUACUCAAAGACUUGCCUCAGAGAAUGGAGCUUGGAAAAUCCCUUAACUUCACACAAUCAAACAUUAGCAUUCUUAACCUCUUUAACAAUUAAUUACACACGUCAUUUUCUAUUUUGGGAUUUUCAAAUUUUACUACACACACACACAUAUGAAUUCCGUUUUGUAUUUAUCUCCUAUAUUACUUUGAGAGUAUUAUAAAGAGCGCUUUCUUUUAUUUGAACUAGUCUUCUCUAACUUCAUGUUGAUUCAUAUGAGUUAAUCUCAAGUUGGACAUGAUGUUGCAUUUGUAACCGUUUUAUUACUAUCUUCAUUUCCUCUAUCCAUAAUGUUUUUUUUUUUUUUAAUCUAAGCAUAUAACUCUUAUAAGUCUUCCAUCCUUGUUUCAUUAUGAACUAAUCAAAACCAAAAUUUUAUCCCCAUUAUUUCCAUACCAUCUUAAGGAUCUUAUAUUUUGAGACUUUUACCUGCCUUAUAUAUAUAUAUAUAUAUAUAUUGAUCUAGUUGGAAUGCAGAAGGUUUUGAUGAAUGAUUAGUCUUUUUUUAUAUAUAUGCAAUUGAAUGCUUAACUUACCAAAUGUAUCAAAUAUAUAAUACAAUUGAAGUUAAAAUUUCAAUUGUUUCUGUUUAAUGGUGGAUAAACCAGGACUGAAAGGUAAAUGUGAAAAUGUAUGUUUAUAUAUUUUAAGCAGUUUUGGAUUGAGAAUACAGACUGGAAUCAAAUAAAGAGUGAGUGCUUAGAGGAAAUUCAACCCCCAUAUUUUUAUCAUCAUAUUGGCUUUUUGAUCAAAAGCUUUCUGCUUUAAAAAAAAAAUGUAAAAUAUGCAUUCAUAUGUUUUUUUACAAUUUGCCUCCAUUUUGGAAUAUUUUGCCUAUUGUUUUUAUAAUUACCAUUUUUGCUUAACAAAAGAUUAUUGAACAAAAAUAUGAAAAGAAAACCCCCAACCUAUUAUUUCUAUGCAUUUAAAUAUUUACAAUUCAAAUUAUAUACAUUUACAAUAUUUUUCACAAGCAUUUAAAUAUUUAUAAUGAAUAUUAUAUAACAGUUUACAAUAUUUUAUGAGCAUAAAUAUUUAUAAUCAAAAUUAUAUAACCAUUUACAGUUUUUUUAAUCAAAUUUAUAUUGGUUUUACAUCAUUUUUAUUCCUUAUAUGUUCACAAACAAAACCGUGACAAUUUCAGAAAAACUGUUCUGUUUUAUCAGCCGAUUGUUGACUACAUAUUUGAUAUUUUAUCUUGUAAUAUCUAUCAUAACCCUGAACUAAAAAACACUUGCACACACAUUUAUAUGUGAAAUAUAUAUAUAUACACACACAUAUAUAUACAUAUAUAUAUAAAUACACGCAUAUACACACACAUAUAUACAUACACACACACAUACACAUCUCUAUGUGUGUAAUUGAGAUUUAAAACUUAUUCCUUAUUUACAUAUGCAGCCAGUUUAUAUUCCAGUUGAAGGUACUUUCAGUGGCUUAAAAGCAAAUAAUGCAUUUGUUGGGUGAUUUUGUAGAUAUAUUUUAGAAAUAGAGAUAAGGAGGAAAAAACAAAUAUAAAAUAAUGAACAAGGAAAAGAGGUUGAGUUUCUGUUACCUCUGCUUCAUAGAAAAGAUUCAUAUUGUCACACAAGAUGAAUCUGAACCUAUAUUGAACUGGUGUUGCAUACUCAAGCAAUUAAUCCAUUCAGAUUAGUUUAUCAAAUGUUAUGCUUAUCUAUUCACAUUGUUUUGAAGUAGUUAUGCAAUGUGGGUGAUGUGAUUGUAUAUUUUUAGAAUAACAUUGUAGGAUAGGUAUGUGAAGCCAAAUCUGGCUAGUUUGAACAUAAAACAGACUAUUUGAACCAGUUAUAACCAGUUUAAAUAUUAAAUGGUUAAAGAAGAUAUCCUGACAUGCACUGAGAAUGAAACUUGAGUUUGCAAAACAAUAGAAUCAAUCAAAUUUAGACCAUUCAUUUACUUUUCGCCAACUGAUUAGUUCCAUUUGCCCAAAUGAGGCUGGCUCUUAUGAAACUCACAGGUAUAAAUUUUAUAUCUUUAUUACUACACAUUACAUUGUACACAUUUAUAUCAUAAACAUAUACAAAACACUUACUUUCUAGUCUAACAAAAAACAAAACAAAAUGAAAUACAACAAACUAUUGCAUGUGUGAAUGAAUGAGUUAAUGUUUGUGUGAGUAAUUCUAUAAAUUGUAUCUAUACAUAAAAAAAAAUACAUGUGCCUUUUUCAUAUCUGCAUUUGCAAGAUUUUGUGAUGUGAAACUGUGUUGAAAUAGACACUGUUAUACUUUAGGAUGGUUAUUCUGCCAAAGGUAUUCUGAACCCUGGGAAGACAAAUUGCAAACAACUUCCCAUCCACUAUCAAUAUUCCCACCACAAACAGUCAUAAAUUUAACUCUGGUCACUCACCUUAGCUUGUAGUUCCUGGAGAUGUUGGCCCUGCACAGAGGUGUCAUAUUUCCUCAAUGAUUAGUACACUCACAAAAUGUCCAGGCGGUUACAAUACAUGCACUACAUUCAGCAGGAUGAAUUAUUUCAACUACUUCUGCAACUUUACAGAAUUCCUUACCAAAAAAGUGUAGGUGAAUUAUCUAUAUUUCUAUCAAUCUACCGAUGUUGAUUUUUCCAUAGUGAGAUUUUACUGUACAUGGCUUUGUGAAAGCAAUGUGGUAUUUUGUGAUGUCAACAAGCUAAGACUCCUAAAAUUCAAAUGUGAUAAUGAUUACUUUGACAGACAUGACCUAAUAGUAUUUUACUCUACCUGACAGAAAUAAGGUAGAUCUUCCACUAACAUCUCAACCA